Molecule: non-coding RNA, 31 nt
Filed under: Mus musculus (house mouse)
Lineage: Eukaryota; Metazoa; Chordata; Mammalia; Rodentia; Muridae
Source: RNAcentral
AGAAAUGAUGAUAUGAGUUACGUGAUGCUCC